This 497-nucleotide ribosomal RNA is filed under the name uncultured bacterium. RNAcentral's name for it is "bacterial SSU rRNA". It matches the Rfam family "Bacterial small subunit ribosomal RNA", at positions 21 to 507 of the family's 1533-position model. The record is from RNAcentral.
GGCUCAGGAUGAACGCUAGCUACAGGCUUAACACAUGCAAGUCGAGGGGCAGCGGGAUUGAAGCUUGCUUCAAUUGCCGGCGACCGGCGCACGGGUGAGUAACGCGUAUCCAACCUUCCGUACACUCAGGGAUAGCCUUUCGAAAGAAAGAUUAAUACCUGAUGGUAUGAUGAGAUCGCAUGGUAUCAUCAUUAAAGAUUUAUCGGUGUACGAUGGGGAUGCGUUCCAUUAGGUAGUAGGCGGGGUAACGGCCCACCUAGCCUACGAUGGAUAGGGGUUCUGAGAGGAAGGUCCCCCACAUUGGAACUGAGACACGGUCCAAACUCCUACGGGAGGCAGCAGUGAGGAAUAUUGGUCAAUGGACGAGAGUCUGAACCAGCCAAGUAGCGUGAAGGAUGAAGGUCCUACGGAUUGUAAACUUCUUUUAUAAGGGAAUAAACCCUCCCACGUGUGGGAGCUUGUAUGUACCUUAUGAAUAAGCAUCGGCUAACUCCGUG